This 253-nucleotide ribosomal RNA is filed under the name uncultured bacterium. Its description in RNAcentral is "partial 16S ribosomal RNA". It matches the Rfam family "Bacterial small subunit ribosomal RNA", at positions 524 to 776 of the family's 1533-position model. The record is from RNAcentral.
UACGUAGGUGGCAAGCGUUGUCCGGAAUUAUUGGGCGUAAAGCGCGCGCAGGCGGUCCUUUAAGUCUGAUGUGAAAGCCCACGGCUCAACCGUGGAAGGUCAUUGGAAACUGGGGGACUUGAGUGCAGAAGAGGAAAGUGGAAUUCCAAGUGUAGCGGUGAAAUGCGUAGAGAUUUGGAGGAACAUCAGUGGCGAAGGCGACUUUCUGGUCUGUAACUGACGCUGAGGCGCGAAAGCGUGGGGAGCAAACAGG